AGAAAUUUACUCUCUAUGACACGAAUGUAAAAAUUGGUGUUAAGGGACACAGAGUCACGCUCACAAAACUGAAAAGAUAGUUAUCAUUAAGAGACAGGUGCUUGAAUAUUUACAUAUAAAGAUAUAGAGAUAUAACUAUAUUAUAGAGGUUUUGGGGAUUUGAGGAGAAAGACACCCACACAACAGAAGAGAUGAUUUUCAUUAAGAGCCAAGUACUUCUAUAAAUGUAACUAGGUUACAUAUAUUACGAUUUUGAGACUGAGAAAAGAUAGGCUGGAGAGUGAGAAGAUAUGGAAAUUUUCAAAGGGAGUCUGAAUGACCAUUUGAAAGGAUUGUAGUAGAGGGGGUUAUAGAGAGCUGGAAGGAAUCUCAAAGGCCAUCUAGUCAAUUUUCCUUAUUUUACAGAUAAUGAAACUAAGGCCUGAGAUGGAAAUGUGACUCACCUAUUGUAACCUGGAUAAUAUUUAUCAAGUGAGGAAUUUGAACCCAGGUCCUCUGAUUCAAGGAAGACCUUUAAGAUACCUUCCAACUAUAAGAUUCUACGGUUCUGUCAGAACAUACCAAUCCAUUUCAGGUAAGAUAAGAUAACAUAAAUGUAAUAUAAUGUAUGUAAGAAUUUGAAUUUUAGGUUUUAUGCUAAAUAUGAAAGGUUUAAAGUAAUAUUGUGGUCGCCUGUUAAAAAACUUAACUCUUAAGUCAUGAGUCUGUUAGCUGCUCUUAAUUUAGUUUAAUAGAAAUAUAGUAAAAGAGAGAAAUAUAGGAAGGAAAUAGAAAGUAUUGCCUAGGUAGAUACUCUAUAAUUUCUGUCCGGUUCACCACCC
Molecule: long non-coding RNA, 821 nt
Filed under: Monodelphis domestica (gray short-tailed opossum)
Lineage: Eukaryota; Metazoa; Chordata; Mammalia; Didelphimorphia; Didelphidae
Description: lncRNA (ENSMODG00000034825.2)
Source: RNAcentral